GCCGGGCAUGGUGGCUCAUGCCUGUAAUCCUGGCACUUUGGGAGGCCAAGGUAGGAGGAUCACCUGAGGUCAGGAGUUCGAGACCAGCCUGACCAACAUGGUGAAACCCUGCCUCUA
RNAcentral lists this non-coding RNA (117 nucleotides) under Pan troglodytes (chimpanzee). The record is from Rfam by way of RNAcentral. Lineage: Eukaryota; Metazoa; Chordata; Mammalia; Primates; Hominidae.